GCACUAGUAGCUCAGUCUCAGAGCACCGGUCUUGUAAACCGGACGUCGGGGGUUAAACUCCCCCCUACUGCU
This is a non-coding RNA of Larimichthys crocea (large yellow croaker), 72 nucleotides long. The record is from the annotation of a RefSeq genome assembly. Lineage: Eukaryota; Metazoa; Chordata; Actinopteri; Sciaenidae.